This 316-nucleotide ribosomal RNA is filed under the name uncultured eukaryote. RNAcentral's name for it is "partial large subunit ribosomal RNA". It matches the Rfam family "Eukaryotic large subunit ribosomal RNA", at positions 40 to 350 of the family's 3401-position model. The record is from RNAcentral.
AUAUUACUAAGCGGAGGAAAAGAAACUAACAAGGAUUCCUUUAGUAACGGCGAGUGAACAAGGAAUAGCCCAUCACCGAAUCCUUCUUGAUCUCAAGUAAGGAAUUGUGGUGUAAAGGACAGUCUUCGUUAUACUUUUGUUUGCUCAAGUUCUCUUGAACGGGGCUUUCCCAUAGCGGGUGUAAGGCCUAUAGCGGCAUUCAAUUGUGUACCUUUGGUUGUCCCGAGAGUCGGGUUGCUUGAGAUCGCAGCCCUAAGACGGGUGGUAAACUCCAUCCAAGGCUAAAUACCGUCGCGAGACCGAUAGCGCACAAGUA